Molecule: ribosomal RNA, 200 nt
Filed under: uncultured bacterium
Lineage: Bacteria
Description: partial 16S ribosomal RNA
Rfam family: Bacterial small subunit ribosomal RNA
Source: RNAcentral
AGAGUUUGAUCCUGGCUCAGAUUGAACGCUAGCGGCAUGCUUAACACAUGCAAGUCGAACGGUAACAGGUUUAGGAAACUAGAUGCUGACGAGUGGCGGACGGGUGAGUAACGCGUAGGAAUCUACCUCAUAGUGGGGAAUAACCUGGGGAAACCCAGGCUAAUACCGCAUAAGCCUUACGAGGGAAAGUGUGGGACCGG